CCUACGGGAGGCAGCAGUGAGGAAUAUUGGUCAAUGGGCGCGAGCCUGAACCAGCCAAGUAGCGUGAAGGAUGACUGCCCUACGGGUUGUAAACUUCUUUUAUAAAGGAAUAAAGUGAGGCACGUGUGCCUUUUUGUACGUACGUUAUGAAUAAGGAACGGCUAACUCCGUGCCAGCAGCCGCGGUAAUACGGAGGAUUCGAGCGUUAUCCGGCUUUAUUGGGUUGAAAGGGAGCGUAGAUGGGUUGUUAAGUCAGUUGUGAAAGUGUGCGGCUCAACCGUAAAAUUGCAAUUGAUACUGGCAGCCUUGAGUACAGUUGAGGUAGGCGGAAUUCGUGGUGUAGCGGUGAAAUGCUUAGAUAUCACGAAGAACUCCGAUGGCGAAGGCAGCUUACUAAACUGCCACUGACAUUGAUGCUCGAAAGUGUGGGUAUCAAACAGGAUUAGAUACCCUGGUAGUC
Molecule: ribosomal RNA, 460 nt
Filed under: uncultured bacterium
Lineage: Bacteria
Description: partial 16S ribosomal RNA
Rfam family: Bacterial small subunit ribosomal RNA
Source: RNAcentral